UGCCUUGUCUCUUGUAGGCACAACUCUGCAUGAGUGUGUCAGUUGUUACAAGGCAAAAUUAAAAGUACAGGUUUUGCUUCCAUCAUGCUAAAUAUUCUGUUGCAGUGAUGACAAUGAGACCUGUCACAUGU
Pelobates cultripes (western spadefoot toad) is the source of this 131-nucleotide non-coding RNA. The record is from the annotation of a GenBank genome assembly. Lineage: Eukaryota; Metazoa; Chordata; Amphibia; Anura; Pelobatidae.